Molecule: ribosomal RNA, 497 nt
Filed under: uncultured bacterium
Lineage: Bacteria
Description: partial 16S ribosomal RNA
Rfam family: Bacterial small subunit ribosomal RNA
Source: RNAcentral
GAUGAACGCUGGCGGCGUGCCUAAUACAUGCAAGUCGAGCGAACAGACGAGGAGCUUGCUCCUCUGACGUUAGCGGCGGACGGGUGAGUAACACGUGGAUAACCUACCUAUAAGACUGGGAUAACUUCGGGAAACCGGAGCUAAUACCGGAUAAUAUAUUGAACCGCAUGGUUCAAUAGUGAAAGACGGUUUUGCUGUCACUUAUAGAUGGAUCCGCGCCGCAUUAGCUAGUUGGUAAGGUAACGGCGUACCAAGGCGACGAUGCGUAGCCGACCUGAGAGGGUGAUAGGCCACACUGGAACGGAGACACGGUCCAGAGUCCUACGGGAGGCAGCAGUAGGGAAUCGUCCGCAAUGGGCGAAAGCCUGACGGAGCAACGCCGCGUGAGUGAUGACGGUCUUCGGAUCGUAAAACUCUGUUAUUAGGGAAGAACAAAUGUGUAAGUAACUAUGCACGUCUUGACGGUACCUAAUCAGAAAGCCACGGCUAACUACGUG